This 497-nucleotide ribosomal RNA is filed under the name uncultured bacterium. RNAcentral describes it as "partial 16S ribosomal RNA". It matches the Rfam family "Bacterial small subunit ribosomal RNA", at positions 28 to 507 of the family's 1533-position model. The record is from RNAcentral.
GAUGAACGCUGGCGGCGUGCCUAAUACAUGCAAGUCGAGCGAACGGACGAGAAGCUUGCUUCUCUGAUUUUAGCGGCGGACGGGUGAGUAACACGUGGAUAACCUACCUAUAAGACUGGGAUAACUUCGGGAAACCGGAGCUAAUACCGGAUAAUAUUUUGAACCGCAUGGUUCAAAAGUGCAAGACGUUCUUGCUUUCACUUAUAGAUUGAUCCGCUCUGCAUUAGCUAGUUGGUAAGGUAACGGCUUACCAAGGCAACGAUGCAUAGCCGACCUGAGAGGGUGAUCGGCCACACUGGAACUGAGACACGGUCCAGACUCCUACGGGAGGCAGCAGUAGGGAAUCUUCCGCAAUGGGCGAAAGCCUGACGGAGCAACGCCGCGUGAGUGAUGAAGGUCUUCGGAUCGUAAAACUCUGUUAUUAGGGAAGAAAAUAUGUGUAAGUAACUGUGCACAUCUUGACGGUACCUAAUCAGAAAGCCACGGCUAACUACGUG